RNAcentral lists this ribosomal RNA (1405 nucleotides) under uncultured bacterium. RNAcentral describes it as "bacterial SSU rRNA". It matches the Rfam family "Bacterial small subunit ribosomal RNA". The record is from RNAcentral.
GAGUUUGAUCCGGGCUCAGGACGAACGCUGGCGGCGUGCCUAAUACAUGCAAGUAGAACGCUGAAGAGAGGAGCUUGCUCUUCUUGGAUGAGUUGCGAACGGGUGAGUAACGCGUAGGUAACCUGCCUUGUAGCGGGGGAUAACUAUUGGAAACGAUAGCUAAUACCGCAUAACAAUAGGUGACACAUGUCAUUUAUUUGAAAGGGGCAAUUGCUCCACUACAAGAUGGACCUGCGUUGUAUUAGCUAGUAGGUGAGGUAACGGCUCACCUAGGCGACGAUACAUAGCCGACCUGAGAGGGUGAUCGGCCACACUGGGACUGAGACACGGCCCAGACUCCUACGGGAGGCAGCAGUAGGGAAUCUUCGGCAAUGGGGGCAACCCUGACCGAGCAACGCCGCGUGAGUGAAGAAGGUUUUCGGAUCGUAAAGCUCUGUUGUAAGUCAAGAACGAGUGUGAGAGUGGAAAGUUCACACUGUGACGGUAGCUUACCAGAAAGGGACGGCUAACUACGUGCCAGCAGCCGCGGUAAUACGUAGGUCCCGAGCGUUGUCCGGAUUUAUUGGGCGUAAAGCGAGCGCAGGCGGUUUGAUAAGUCUGAAGUUAAAGGCUGUGGCUCAACCAUAGUUCGCUUUGGAAACUGUCAAACUUGAGUGCAGAAGGGGAGAGUGGAAUUCCAUGUGUAGCGGUGAAAUGCGUAGAUAUAUGGAGGAACACCGGUGGCGAAAGCGGCUCUCUGGUCUGUAACUGACGCUGAGGCUCGAAAGCGUGGGGAGCGAACAGGAUUAGAUACCCUGGUAGUCCACGCCGUAAACGAUGAGUGCUAGGUGUUGGAUCCUUUCCGGGAUUCAGUGCCGCAGCUAACGCAUUAAGCACUCCGCCUGGGGAGUACGACCGCAAGGUUGAAACUCAAAGGAAUUGACGGGGGCCCGCACAAGCGGUGGAGCAUGUGGUUUAAUUCGAAGCAACGCGAAGAACCUUACCAGGUCUUGACAUCCCGAUGCUAUUUCUAGAGAUAGAAAGUUACUUCGGUACAUCGGUGACAGGUGGUGCAUGGUUGUCGUCAGCUCGUGUCGUGAGAUGUUGGGUUAAGUCCCGCAACGAGCGCAACCCCUAUUGUUAGUUGCCAUCAUUCAGUUGGGCACUCUAGCGAGACUGCCGGUAAUAAACCGGAGGAAGGUGGGGAUGACGUCAAAUCAUCAUGCCCCUUAUGACCUGGGCUACACACGUGCUACAAUGGUUGGUACAACGAGUUGCGAGUCGGUGACGGCAAGCUAAUCUCUUAAAGCCAAUCUCAGUUCGGAUUGUAGGCUGCAACUCGCCUACAUGAAGUCGGAGUCGCUAGUAAUCGCGGAUCAGCACGCCGCGGUGAAUACGUUCCCGGGCCUUGUACACACCGCCCGUC